UGGCUCAGUGGUAGAGCGCUUGCCUUGCACGCAUGAGGCCCUGGGUUCAAUUCCUCAG
Molecule: non-coding RNA, 58 nt
Organism: Dipodomys ordii (Ord's kangaroo rat)
Lineage: Eukaryota; Metazoa; Chordata; Mammalia; Rodentia; Heteromyidae
Source: Rfam